NUGGUUACUGAUACUAUCGCUUGUAANAAAGAGGAAAGUCCGGACACCAAAGAGCAGUAUAGCGGAUAACAUCCGUCCAUGAAAAUGAGGACAAGUGCAACAGAAAGCAUGUACAGUUAGGCUGUAGUGAAAUCAGGUAAACUCUAUACGGUGCAAUGCCAUGUAUAUCAAGUUUUGAUAGUUGCUCGCUAAACUUGAGGGGUAGGCAGCUCGAGUUACAAGGNAACUUGUAACCUAGAUAAAUGAUAGUACUCGNAAGGGAACAGAAUCCGGCUUANGUGUAACCNAAAGC
Molecule: RNase P RNA, 292 nt
Filed under: Flavobacteriales bacterium
Lineage: Bacteria; Pseudomonadati; Bacteroidota; Flavobacteriia; Flavobacteriales
Description: RNase P RNA component class A
Rfam family: Bacterial RNase P class A
About the family: Ribonuclease P (RNase P) is a ubiquitous endoribonuclease, found in archaea, bacteria and eukarya as well as chloroplasts and mitochondria. Its best characterised activity is the generation of mature 5'-ends of tRNAs by cleaving the 5'-leader elements of precursor-tRNAs. Cellular RNase Ps are ribonucleoproteins.
Source: RNAcentral